UACAGAGGGUGCGAGCGUUGUCCGGAAUUACUGGGCGUAAAGGGCGCGUAGGCGGCUUGGUAAGUCGGGGGUGAAAGUCAGCGGCUCAACCGCUGGACUGCCUUCGAGACUGCCUGGCUUGAGCAUGGUAGAGGCUGGCGGAAUUCCCGGUGUAGCGGUGGAAUGCGUAGAGAUCGGGAAGAACAUCGGUGGCGAAGGCGGCUACCUGGACCGGUACUGACGCUGAGGCGCGAAAGCUAGGGUAGCAAACAGG
RNAcentral lists this ribosomal RNA (253 nucleotides) under uncultured bacterium. Its description in RNAcentral is "partial 16S ribosomal RNA". It matches the Rfam family "Bacterial small subunit ribosomal RNA", at positions 524 to 776 of the family's 1533-position model. The record is from RNAcentral.